This 663-nucleotide ribosomal RNA is filed under the name uncultured Clostridium sp. RNAcentral's name for it is "bacterial SSU rRNA". It matches the Rfam family "Bacterial small subunit ribosomal RNA", at positions 75 to 758 of the family's 1533-position model. The record is from RNAcentral. Lineage: Bacteria; Bacillati; Bacillota; Clostridia; Eubacteriales; Clostridiaceae.
CGAUUUUCUUCGGAGAAGAGCGGCGGACGGGUGAGUAACGCGUGGGUAACCUGCCCUGUACACACGGAUAACAUACCGAAAGGUAUGCUAAUACGAGAUAAUAUACUUUUAUCGCAUGGUAGAAGUAUCAAAGCUUUUGCGGUACAGGAUGGACCCGCGUCUGAUUAGCUAGUUGGUAAGGUAACGGCUUACCAAGGCGACGAUCAGUAGCCGACCUGAGAGGGUGAUCGGCCACAUUGGAACUGAGACACGGUCCAAACUCCUACGGGAGGCAGCAGUGGGGAAUAUUGCACAAUGGGCGAAAGCCUGAUGCAGCAACGCCGCGUGAGCGAUGAAGGCCUUCGGGUCGUAAAGCUCUGUCCUCAAGGAAGAUAAUGACGGUACUUGAGGAGGAAGCCCCGGCUAACUACGUGCCAGCAGCCGCGGUAAUACGUAGGGGGCUAGCGUUAUCCGGAAUUACUGGGCGUAAAGGGUGCGUAGGUGGUUUCUUAAGUCAGAGGUGAAAGGCUACGGCUCAACCGUAGUAAGCCUUUGAAACUGAGAAACUUGAGUGCAGGAGAGGAGAGUGGAAUUCCUAGUGUAACGGUGAAAUGCGUAGAUAUUAGGAGGAACACCAGUUGCGAAGGCGGCUCUCUGGACUGUAACUGACACUGAGGCACGAAA